UGGAGUCGAGCGUCGACUGACUGACUGACGCGAGACGAGGACGCUCGCGGUCUUGGUCUUGGUCGCGGUAGCGGCCGCGUGGAGGUCGAGCGCAUUUGCCCGGCUUCAAAAAGCACUCCUCGUCCACAACGAACGGCACCGAGUGUUGAGAAGACCUUCGGAGAAGAACGUUUGAAGAUCAAGAUCUGGACUAAAAGCCACAGUGUACUUGGAAGCAGUGAUUCCCAUUUUCCUAUACAUUUCAGAGCAAAAUAAAUCUUUUCAGCCUGGCAAAGUAUCUGUGAGUACAACAGCACACAAACGGAGAAAGGUCCACCAACCUAACUCUUGGAAGUGAAUGUAAAGAUAACAAAGGAGAUGUGCGGGGCAUGUUUUUAUACACAGAGUGGUCUACUCUUUAAUCACCAGUCACUCUACUCCAUACCAGCAGUUUAGGGAAGACCUCUCAGUAAAACACUCAAGGCCUGCCACUGCUCCAUGAAGAUACAAUGAUGUAGUCACCAGGUGUGCUGCAAGC
Molecule: long non-coding RNA, 517 nt
Organism: Leucoraja erinaceus (little skate)
Lineage: Eukaryota; Metazoa; Chordata; Chondrichthyes; Rajiformes; Rajidae
Exons: 4
Source: RefSeq, a predicted model, not a curated record